Molecule: long non-coding RNA, 417 nt
Filed under: Pavo cristatus (Indian peafowl)
Lineage: Eukaryota; Metazoa; Chordata; Aves; Galliformes; Phasianidae
Description: lncRNA (ENSPSTG00000005694.1)
Source: RNAcentral
AUGCUACUGAGAUGGAUCCACCAGUGGAAGAGUUCCUGCAGCACCGAUGGACACACUCAGGGUGCCCACCACCACGAAAAGCCGUGUGACAGAGUCUUGAGCCUCAUUCUAAUAUCAUGCAUGCUGCAUUCAACCAACAUAAAUGCAAACAGAAAGACUGAAUUUAUGCCAGCAAGUCACAAUAAGCCGUGCAUUGGCAAAAUAUUUAAUCGUGCUGAAAUUGGAGGCCGCAUCCUCACACGUGGCUUUACUUUGGCAUUGCAAACUGCACAUCUUCUAAAGCUUCUCCGGGAGCACUGGCAAAGCCUUACACUGAGGACUAGUUCUAAUCUGUGGAGGGUAUGGAAGAGAAGGAAAGCGUGUCCAAGCAUGUCCGUUUUUUUUAACCAACAUCACCAUAGAGUCAUGGAAUCAUAG